AUAUUGCCCAAUGGGGGAAACCCUGAGGCAGCAACGCCGCGUGGAGGAAGAAGGUCUUUGGAUUGUAAACUCCUUUUCUGGGGGAAGAGCAAGGACGGUACCCCAGGAAUAAGUCACGGCUAACUACGUGCCAGCAGCCGCGGUAAUACGUAGGUGGCGAGCGUUAUCCGGAAUUACUGGGCGUAAAGCGUCCGCAGGCGGCUUGUUAAGUCUGCUGUGAAAGCUCCUGGCUUAACUGGGAGAGGUCAGUGGAAACUGGCAGGCUUGAGGCGAUGAGAGGGGUGUGGAAUUCCCGGUGUAGUGGUGGAAUGCGUAGAGAUCGGGAGGAACACCAGUGGCGAAAGCGGCACCCUGGCAUCGGCCUGACGCUGAGGGACGAAAGCGUGGGGAGCGAACGGG
RNAcentral lists this ribosomal RNA (399 nucleotides) under uncultured bacterium. RNAcentral's name for it is "bacterial SSU rRNA". It matches the Rfam family "Bacterial small subunit ribosomal RNA", at positions 361 to 776 of the family's 1533-position model. The record is from RNAcentral.